Molecule: unclassified non-coding RNA, 380 nt
Filed under: uncultured fungus
Lineage: Eukaryota; Fungi
Description: sequence contains ITS1
Rfam family: 5.8S ribosomal RNA (bases 1-106)
Source: RNAcentral
UAAAGUGCGAUAUCUAGUGCGAUUUGCAUGAAUCUGUGAGUCAUCAAGUCUUUGAACGCAACUUGCGCCCCCUGGGCAGCCAAGGGGCAUGUCUGUUUGAGCGCCUAAUACACACGUUGAUCCCGCGAGGGUCAGAGCUGGGGCCGCAGCGCGCCGAGGGUGCGCGGUGGGUCCUGAAAUGGAGCAGGUCAAAGGGGGCCGGCGGCCGCGGCCAUGUGCUAGAGACCCGGCGGUCUUGUCAUGGCCGUGGGGCUGGCGCCCUGCGUUGGUGGUGUGGUGGUGUGGUGGUGGCGAGGCACUCCCUCGCCUCACACGCCGUCACACGCACACACGCCCUCACACUUGGCCUCAAAUCAGGCAAGACUACCCGCUGAACUUAA